This is a long non-coding RNA of Papio anubis (olive baboon), 528 nucleotides long. NCBI's taxonomy places the organism in Eukaryota, Metazoa, Chordata, Mammalia, Primates, Cercopithecidae. The record is from Ensembl.
UGAGAGGAUGGAUUACAGCUUUGAAAAAUGCUGUACUCUGAAUAAAAUGCUAUCAAACAGCAUUGGACGCUACAGAAAAAUCUUUCAUGAAAGGAAGAGUCAAUCAAUGUGGCAAACUUUGUUGUUGUCUUGUCUUAAUAGAUUGCUAUAGCCAACUCAACCUCCAGGAAACACCACCCUGAUCAGUCAGCAGCCAUAAAUGUUAAGAACAAGAUUUUUAAAAACUUUUCCCUGCUAUCACCUUGAAAAUGCUGGAGUGCAGUGGCGCAAUGUCGGCUCGCUGGAACUUCCUCCUCCUGGGUUCAAGCAAUUCUCCUGCCUCAGCCUCCCAAGUAGCUGGAACUACAGGCAUGCGCCACUGGGCCCAGAAUUCUAUGCAUACAAUGGUAGAAGGAUGUACGAAGAUGGAGAGAGCAUUUCUGGAUAACAAAGUUGGCCUAACUGCUUUUUACCCAUUCAGGAGGUCUGGCUGUCAAUUUCUUUAACCUCUUUUUGAUAUACAUAACAUUUAGAUAGUUUUCUACCCAU